RNAcentral lists this ribosomal RNA (193 nucleotides) under uncultured Polyangiaceae bacterium. Its description in RNAcentral is "partial 16S ribosomal RNA". It matches the Rfam family "Bacterial small subunit ribosomal RNA", at positions 338 to 524 of the family's 1533-position model. Lineage: Bacteria; Pseudomonadati; Myxococcota; Polyangiales; Polyangiaceae. The record is from RNAcentral.
CCUACGGGAGGCAGCAGUGGGGAAUCUUGCGCAAUGGGCGAAAGCCUGACGCAGCGACGCCGCGUGAGCGAUGAAGGCCUUCGGGUUGUAAAGCUCUGUGGGGAGGAAAGAAUAAGGUUUGGCUAAUAUCCAAACUGAUGACGGUACCUCCUUAGCAAGCACCGGCUAACUCUGUGCCAGCAGCCGCGGUAAU